This 1752-nucleotide long non-coding RNA is filed under the name Sus scrofa (pig). RNAcentral's name for it is "lncRNA (ENSSSCG00030014228.1)". Lineage: Eukaryota; Metazoa; Chordata; Mammalia; Artiodactyla; Suidae. The record is from RNAcentral.
ACUGCUGUGUUCCCAUUCGCUCUGUCCCCGACAGGAUUGGAAGCAGGGGGCCCGCGGCCGUUGCCUUGGCCCUUCUGGCUUCUAGGAAGCCAUUCUUGGAAGAGGAAGCACUUCUUUUUAUCCAGAUGGAAAAGGGAGGCCAGGAAAGCUUUUGCCACUGACGAAGCCCGGGCACCAUGAAUGCAAGCGACUUCCGCCGGCGGGGGAAGGAGAUGGUGGAUUACGUGGCUGACUACCUGGAGGGCAUCGAGGGUCGCCAGGUGUACCCCGACGUGCAGCCCGGCUACCUGCGCCCCCUGAUCCCCGCCACCGCCCCCCAGGAGCCAGACACGUUUGAGGACAUCCUUCAGGACGUUGAGAAGAUAAUCAUGCCGGGGGUGACCCACUGGCACAGCCCCUACUUCUUCGCCUACUUCCCCACGGCCAGCUCGUACCCGGCCAUGCUCGCCGACAUGCUGUGUGGGGCCAUUGGCUGCAUCGGCUUCUCCUGGUGGACGCACGCAUCCCGUGGCCGCCCAGGCCAGAUGUUCUCUAUCAAGUUGAAGGAAUUCUGCUCUAAUCCUAAAUUUGCUGUGGCGUCGACAGCUCUCCAGGACGCCCUUGAGAGAGGAGCAGCAGGUCUGCUUCUUCCUCUCCAGGUGGUGGCUACGCUGGGGACCACAUCGUGCUGCUCCUUUGACAAUCUCUUAGAAGUGGGACCCAUCUGUCAUGAAGAGGACAUAUGGCUGCACGUGGAUGCUGCCUACGCAGGCAGUGCCUUCAUCUGCCCUGAGUUCCGGCACCUGCUGAAUGGAGUGGAGUUUGCAGAUUCAUUUAACUUUAAUCCCCACAAAUGGCUCUUGGUGAAUUUUGACUGCUCGGCUAUGUGGGUGAAAAGGAGAACGGACCUGACUGGAGCCUUCAAAUUGGACCCCGUGUACUUAAAGCACAGCCACCAGGACUCGGGGCUUAUCACGGACUACAGGCACUGGCAGCUGCCACUGGGUCGGCGAUUCCGGUCCCUGAAAAUGUGGUUUGUUUUCAGGAUGUACGGAGUCAAGGGACUGCAGGCCUAUAUCCGCAAGCACGUGCAGCUGUCUCAUGAGUUUGAGGCAUUUGUGCUUCAGGAUCCCCGCUUUGAAGUCUGUGCCGAAGUCACCCUGGGGCUGGUGUGUUUCCGGCUGAAGGGCUCCGACGGACUGAAUGAAGCGCUUCUGGAAAGGAUAAACAGCGCCAGGAAAAUCCACUUGGUUCCCUGUCGCCUGAGGGGUCAGUUCGUGCUGCGGUUUGCCAUCUGCUCGCGCACGGUGGAGUCGGGCCACGUGCGGCUGGCCUGGGAGCACAUCCGAGGGCUGGCGGCCGAGCUGCUGGCCGCGGAGGAGGGAAAGGCAGAGAUCAAAAGUUGAAGUGCCCUGAAGAGCAGAAUCGGAGGAGACGCGUCGUCCCCGCUCCGAGGCGUAGAGCCUGCAUGUGGUCCCCCCACUUCUUUAGCCCACGUUCUCCAGAAAGAAGCUUGUGCCUACGUCUGACCAGCCUCUCAGCAAUGAAGAAGUAUUAUCUGCUCUUUGAAAAGUUAAUCCCAGUGGAGACAGCUUUUACUCUUUAUUUGGCUGUGAUUGUUUGUUGAUUAAAACAUCAUAGGUUUCUGCAUCCUUGAAGUUGUCAGCGGUGGUCCACUUUCCGGGGCAACCUAUGCUGAUGGGAUUUGAGAUGAUACCCGUGGUCUUUAAAUUACUCUGUCCUGUGGCUUAGUGCUUAAUAAAUGAUGUGAAG